UACGUAGGGUGCGAGCGUUGUCCGGAAUUAUUGGGCGUAAAGGGCUCGUAGGCGGUUUGUCGCGUCGGGAGUGAAAUCCACUGGCUUAACUGGUGGCUUGCUUUCGAUACGGGCAGACUGGAGGUAUGCAGGGGAGAACGGAAUUCCUGGUGUAGCGGUGGAAUGCGCAGAUAUCAGGAGGAACACCAGUGGCGAAGGCGGUUCUCUGGGCCUUACCUGACGCUGAGGAGCGAAAGCGUGGGGAGCAAACAGG
RNAcentral lists this ribosomal RNA (253 nucleotides) under uncultured bacterium. Its description in RNAcentral is "partial 16S ribosomal RNA". It matches the Rfam family "Bacterial small subunit ribosomal RNA", at positions 524 to 776 of the family's 1533-position model. The record is from RNAcentral.